Molecule: non-coding RNA, 24 nt
Filed under: Cricetulus griseus (Chinese hamster)
Lineage: Eukaryota; Metazoa; Chordata; Mammalia; Rodentia; Cricetidae
Source: RNAcentral
UCUAGUAAGGAUAAGGAUGCAUAC